This is a small nucleolar RNA of Mus caroli (Ryukyu mouse), 121 nucleotides long. RefSeq annotates it as small nucleolar RNA SNORA73 family. The record is from RefSeq and is a predicted model, not a curated record. NCBI's taxonomy places the organism in Eukaryota, Metazoa, Chordata, Mammalia, Rodentia, Muridae.
UCAAAGUUCUUGAAAAUUAAAAUAUCUGUGUUCAGAAGAUAGGUCUCCACCUGCAUAUUCCUACAACUUCUCAGAGUCCCGUGGAUGAUGACUGAGGAGACAAACCAUGCAGCAAACGAAA